UACCUGCAGCCCGAGUGGUGGCCGUUAUUAUUGGGCCUAAAACGUCCGUAGCCGGCUGAGUAGAUGCCUGUGUAAAUCGAACGGCUUAACCGUUCGAACUGCGGGUAGACCGCUCAGCUUGGGACCGGGAGAGUCACGAAGUACUCCGGGGGUAGAGGUGAAAUUCGUAGAUAUCGGGAGGAACACCAGUGGCGAAGGCGACUACCUGGCCUGUUCUUGACGCUGAGGCGCGAAAGCUAGGGGAGCAAACAGG
This 253-nucleotide ribosomal RNA is filed under the name uncultured bacterium. RNAcentral's name for it is "partial 16S ribosomal RNA". It matches the Rfam family "Bacterial small subunit ribosomal RNA", at positions 524 to 776 of the family's 1533-position model. The record is from RNAcentral.